Molecule: ribosomal RNA, 483 nt
Filed under: uncultured bacterium
Lineage: Bacteria
Description: partial 16S ribosomal RNA
Rfam family: Bacterial small subunit ribosomal RNA
Source: RNAcentral
ACUCAAAUGAAUUGACGGGGACCCGCACAAGCGGUGGAGCAUGUGGUUUAAUUCGACAAUAAGCGAGGAACCUUACCUGGGCUUGAAAUUUAGCUGCAAGCCGCCGGAAACGGUGGCCGCCUUCGAGGGUGCUAAGUAGGUGCUGCAUGGUUGUCGUCAGCUCGUGGCGUGAGCUGUUCCCUUAAGUGGGGUAACGAGCGCAACCCCUAUCCCGUGUUACUAUGUCACGGGAGACUGCCCUCGUAAGAGGGAGGAGGGUGGGGAUGACGUCAAAUCAGCAUGGCCCUUACGUCCAGGGCUACACACGUGCUACAAUGGUCGGUACAAUGGGCUGCCAAAUCGCAAGAUGGAGCAAAUCCCACAAAGCCGACCCCAGUUCGGAUUGCAGGCUGCAACUCGCCUGCAUGAAGUCGGAAUCGCUAGUAACGGCCAAUCAGCCACGUGGCCGUGAAUACGUUCUCGGGUCUUGUACACACCGCCCGU